RNAcentral lists this long non-coding RNA (794 nucleotides) under Homo sapiens (human). RNAcentral describes it as "HSALNT0358941". Lineage: Eukaryota; Metazoa; Chordata; Mammalia; Primates; Hominidae. The record is from RNAcentral.
GUCUCCUCAGUGUUACUCAUGCUGCCUCCAUCCCUGGUGCCCUCUCUGUAUCUCUGUGCCUUUGUGCACACUGCUUCCUCUGCCUGGAAGCCCUUCUUCCUUUCUCCACACAACACAUCCCUCCUUACUCAUUAAAGUCCCGUACAAAUGCUAAAGGCAGCUGAUCUUGUCAGCAAACUUGGCCACCAAAUAGAAAAUCUCCUUCUAUGCCCACUAGUCAUGGACAAAACUCAAAAGUUGCAUGGGAACUUCAGUUAUCGGGCAAUGUUACCAGGGUUUGGGGCAGAAGGAACAGAUAAAAGGGACAAUUCUAAGGAAGAUGAUUGAAAGACUGACCCCAAUGUGGAGAGGAUGAUUCCAGCACUACUCGUACUGCACUAGGAUCAGACAACUUGAAAUCUGCCUUUGCUUUUAUUGGGCAAUCUGUUCCAGGGAUCACAGCCCCUACCUGUAACUGUCACCUCUUUUGAGGUACAAUUACAUUCUUUCCUCUCAUCCCAUUGCAAUGUUUCCAUGCUGAGAGGGCUCCAGAGAGAUGUAGGGAAGCUCUGCUAGUCUCUGUGCUGAAGCUCAGUGCCUGGCAUACCUCUGCCUUUGAUGAGGCUCUGGCACAGCCCUGCAUCAUUCUUCAUUUGCCUGCGCAUUAAAGAAUGCCCCUGGUGGUCAUCAGAGCGCCUUGUGUCAGAGGCUUUGUCUACACCUCUCUGUGCCUAGGUUGCAAGCACAGCUUUGGAUUUUUUUUAUCCUCCUCUCAUGUACUGAUGUUCAAUUUGGGAAUGGGCAAGGACCUGGCA